Molecule: long non-coding RNA, 844 nt
Organism: Labeo rohita (rohu)
Lineage: Eukaryota; Metazoa; Chordata; Actinopteri; Cypriniformes; Cyprinidae
Exons: 3
Source: RefSeq, a predicted model, not a curated record
GCUGGUGGAGGAAGAGAAAACAGAACUCCGACGGCAGGAGAAAUGCCUCGACCGGUAACUCCGCCCCCAGCUGCGGCGCUUGAUUGGUCUGUCCCAAAGAGGUUAGUGCAUGACAGUUCCAAGUCUGUGAAUUAGGUCUGUGUUGCCCCGGUAACAGGUCUUUAUCAAAGACCAACACACUGAAGUAGGAGGAAAGCUGACGUCUAAACGAAGAGGAUUUUUUCUCGGGAGCUGCUUUUGUGGCACGUAAGUGUCGCAUUGGAAUUCUGCUCAGGACCAGACCAGUGUCUGACUGUCAUCCCUAAUAUGGAUGGUGCCAAUUAGACCACAGCGACGGAGCCUCACACUCUAUCACAUAGUCUCUUAUAUACAAUCCACUUUAAACAUUUAGCCCACUACACACUCAUUAAUCUAUACUCAAAGUUUUGUGUGACACAAUUUAUCCCAAUGAUUUUUUCAUCACAAGCCAAAGCUCAUCCCAAAAACAAUUCAGUAUAAGUAACUGUUAGUGUUUGUGUGUAGAUAUACACACACCUUUCAAAAAUUGUUUUAAUAUUUUCUCUCUUAUGCUCACCAAGGCUGUGAAAAAAUGCUUAUGAAAUAUGACUGCAAUUUUAGAAAUAAAUGCAUUCUUUUUAAAUAUUUUUAAAAAUAUAUAAUUUAUCCUGUGAUGGCAAAGCUGAAUGUUCAGCAGCCAGUACUCCAGUCUUCAGUGUCACAUGAUCCUUCAGAAAACAUGGAAAAUAUAUUUCGUAUUAAUAUCAGUGUUAAAAACAGUUGUACUGCUUAAUAUUUGGUAGAAAGUGUGCUACAUUUUUCAGGCCUUUUUGGUCAGUCGAUAUUU